UGCAGUCGAGCGGACUUGAUGGAGAGCUUGCUCUCCUGAUGUGCAGUCGAGCGAACAGACGAGGAGCUUGCUCCUCUGACGUUAGCGGCGGACGGGUGAGUAACACGUGGAUAACCUACCUAUAAGACUGGGAUAACUUCGGGAAACCGGAGCUAAUACCGGAUAAUAUAUUGAACCGCAUGGUUCAAUAGUGAAAGACGGUUUUGCUGUCACUUAUAGAUGGAUCCGCGCCGCAUUAGCUAGUUGGUAAGGUAACGGCUUACCAAGGCAACGAUGCGUAGCCGACCUGAGAGGGUGAUCGGCCACACUGGAACUGAGACACGGUCCAGACUCCUACGGGAGGCAGCAGUAGGGAAUCUUCCGCAAUGGGCGAAAGCCUGACGGAGCAACGCCGCGUGAGUGAUGAAGGUCUUCGGAUCGUAAAACUCUGUUAUUAGGGAAGAACAAAUGUGUAAGUAACUAUGCACGUCUUGACGGUACCUAAUCAGAAAGCCACGGCUAACUACGUGCCAGCAGCCGCGGUAAUACGUAGGUGGCAAGCGUUAUCCGGAAUUAUUGGGCGUAAAGCGCGCGUAGGCGGUUUUUUAAGUCUGAUGUGAAAGCCCACGGCUCAACCGUGGAGGGUCAUUGGAAACUGGAAAACUUGAGUGCAGAAGAGGAAAGUGGAAUUCCAUGUGUAGCGGUGAAAUGCGCAGAGAUAUGGAGGAACACCAGUGGCGAAGGCGACUUUCUGGUCUGUAACUGACGCUGAUGUGCGAAAGCGUGGGGAUCAAACAGGAUUAGAUACCCUGGUAGUCCACGCCGUAAACGAUGAGUGCUAAGUGUUAGGGGGUUUCCGCCCCUUAGUGCUGCAGCUAACGCAUUAAGCACUCCGCCUGGGGAGUACGACCGCAAGGUUGAAACUCAAAGGAAUUGAC
Molecule: ribosomal RNA, 917 nt
Filed under: Staphylococcus sp. S228
Lineage: Bacteria; Bacillati; Bacillota; Bacilli; Caryophanales; Staphylococcaceae
Description: bacterial SSU rRNA
Rfam family: Bacterial small subunit ribosomal RNA
Source: RNAcentral